Molecule: unclassified non-coding RNA, 575 nt
Filed under: Leishmania donovani
Lineage: Eukaryota; Euglenozoa; Kinetoplastea; Trypanosomatida; Trypanosomatidae
Description: gene:unknown
Source: RNAcentral
CUGUCUUAAGUUUCACCACCUUUAGAAGACUCUCAAUUGCUUAGGCCUAGUAUAAUUAUCGUUUCUGUUGGUGUCGAGCAGCGUGACAACUUUUUAUAUUUCUAGUGGUGGCAGUCUUUGUUGUAUACGAGCUCAUUAUUGGAAAGCUCUUCCUUAGCAUUGUGCACAGGGUGGGUCUCGUUCAAUUGGACGAAAACAUCAACACUGUUUUUGCGUUCGAGGCAUCUGGUAUUCUAAUCACCAACAACUACGAUAGCUCUUCUCUGAAGGCAAACACGAGGUGACACAGUCACCAAGACAAGGCUGCACUGGCGUAGAUCAACAUACAGCAGCCCCAGACAAAAAGCAGUGUACCCCCGAAUAUUGUAACUGAAGCGUACUUUUGAAGUGCAAUGGUGCCACGGGAGGGUGUGCAACAUCAGGGGCUGGCGAAGCUCUGCGACUGACUUACUCUUUGCACGUGAAGAAGCCCAUUCUCGAUAUAGCACCUGCACGUCAACGGAAAAUCAGACGAUGCUAGACAGUUCGUCUCAGUGCGUACUUCCCUCUACUCUUUCUGCUUUGAAAUAUGAUAG